Molecule: long non-coding RNA, 952 nt
Organism: Mya arenaria
Lineage: Eukaryota; Metazoa; Mollusca; Bivalvia; Myida; Myidae
Exons: 4
Source: RefSeq, a predicted model, not a curated record
AGGAAUUUUCAAGGACAAGAACCAGUGCUGGUAAAACUGUGGUCUCGUGUGGUUUUCCAUACCGGCUCUCGGCAAGGAUUUUCAAGAAAGGAAUACCAUCUCCAAAUCAUGAUGUGCCAAUAAGCUCCAGUUAGCUGCGGCCUUUUCCCCAGGCGGUAGUCCUGCAAUCUGAAUCCAGGAGAUGCAGCUCUGAAUCCAAUAUUUCAGAAGAAUGAAGAUGAUAAACUCAAUCCCGAAGAAAGAAAUCACCUUCAGUUCACAGCGUGGCCAGACAAGGACAUUUUUGAUAACGUCUCAUCAAUUAUAAAGUUUAGACAGGGAGUGAACGCCUUGCCGAGUACUUUUGACGGACCAGUGGUAGAGCCUUGCAGUGCUGACGUAGGGAGAACGGGAACCUACAUAGCUCUGGACAUUCUGACUAUAGAGUGUGAGGCAGAAGAGUUAUAGAUAAUCCGAGAUGUGUUCUCAACAUGAGACAGAACAGACUCAGACCUUGGUGGGAUGUUUGCUGAUAUAUCUGUUGUAUAAAAAUAAUUCAUCAACAGGCGCAAUAUGACAGAGACCGUUAAGAAUUGGUUUCACGGAUAAAAUUCAAUAGUACUCUUUUUAUCAGAAACAAGGUAAAAAGUGAGAUUUGUCAAACCAUUUAAACUCAAAAUAAUGCAUGCCUGGACAAAAAUGAGUUGUAAUACUUCUUUUUUUGUUUCUUGUUAUUAAUAAGUUAAUUCUGUUUUUCCUUCAUUCAUUUCCAAUUUUAUGCAAUUUAUAUGUCUUAACAUUUAUACUAAAAAUGCAAUUAUUGACAAAAACAACAGAGAAUGGAAUGGUCAACAUGUUCAAUGGAACAAACAUAUGACGUUUCACUCGGGCUAAUAUAACAUACAUGUUUUAGUCCAUUGAUGAAUCUAAAAAUCAGAUUUCUUAUAUGUUUUCUUUAUUACCGUAUGUUGUA